CAGCAGCCACGGUAAUACGAGGGGGGCAAGCGUUGUUCGGAAUUAUUGGGCGUAAAGGGUGCGUAGGAGGCUUGACAAGUCUUGUGUGAAAUCUAUGGGCUCAACCCAUAGUCUGCACGGGAAACUGUCGGGCUUGAGAAUGGGAGAGGUGAGUGGAAUUUCCGGUGUAGCGGUGAAAUGCGUAGAUAUCGGAAGGAACACCUGCGGCGAAAGCGGCUCACUGGACCAUUUCUGACGCUGAUGCACGAAAGCUAGGGGAGCAAACAGGAUUAGAUACCCCCGUAGUCCCUGUCUCUUAUAC
Molecule: ribosomal RNA, 301 nt
Filed under: uncultured bacterium
Lineage: Bacteria
Description: partial 16S ribosomal RNA
Rfam family: Bacterial small subunit ribosomal RNA
Source: RNAcentral